This 65-nucleotide small nucleolar RNA is filed under the name Castor canadensis (American beaver). Its description in RNAcentral is "Small nucleolar RNA SNORD58 (ENSCCNG00000017997.1)". It matches the Rfam family "Small nucleolar RNA SNORD58". From Rfam's summary of the family: snoRNA U58 is found in introns 1, 3 and 6 of the ribosomal protein RPL17 gene in humans. U58 is a member of the C/D class of snoRNA which contain C (UGAUGA) and D (CUGA) box motifs. The record is from Rfam by way of RNAcentral. Lineage: Eukaryota; Metazoa; Chordata; Mammalia; Rodentia; Castoridae.
UUGCUGUGAUGACAUAUCUUAGGACACCUUUGGAGUAACCAUGAAAGAAAACUAUUCUGAGCAAC